UUGGAGGGCAAGUCUGGUGCCAGCAGCCGCGGUAAUUCCAGCUCCAAUAGCGUAUAUUAAAGUUGUUGCAGUUAAAAAGCUCGUAGUUGAAUUUCGGGAUUGACUCGAUGGUCGUGCCUUAAGGGGUAUGAACUGUCGUUGUUGAUUUCUCACCUUCUGGAGAAGCUCGAUGUCCUUAAUUGGAUGUCUUGUGGAACCAGGACCUUUACCUUGAAAAAAUUAGAGUGCUUAAAGCGGGCUAGUGCUUGAAUAGAUUAGCAUGGAAUAAUAAAAUAGGACGGCAUGGUUCUAUUUUGUUGGUUUCUAGGAUCACCGUAAUGAUUAAUAGGGAUAGUUGGGGGCAUUAGUAUUCAAUUGUCAGAGGUGAAAUUCUUGGAUUUAUUGAAGACUAACUUCUGCGAAAGCAUUUGCCAAGGAUGUUUUCAUUAAUCAAGAACGAAAGUUAGGGGAUCGAAGACGAUCAGAUACCGUCGUAGUCUUAACCAUAAACUAUGCCGACUAGGAAUCAGACGAAGUUAAUUUUAUAAUGACUCGUUCGGCGCCUUACGGGAAAC
This 554-nucleotide ribosomal RNA is filed under the name uncultured Glomeromycotina. RNAcentral's name for it is "SSU rRNA". It matches the Rfam family "Eukaryotic small subunit ribosomal RNA", at positions 548 to 1098 of the family's 1831-position model. Lineage: Eukaryota; Fungi; Glomeromycota. The record is from RNAcentral.